Perognathus longimembris pacificus (Pacific pocket mouse) is the source of this 390-nucleotide long non-coding RNA. RefSeq lists it as uncharacterized. The transcript has 3 exons. The record is from RefSeq and is a predicted model, not a curated record. Lineage: Eukaryota; Metazoa; Chordata; Mammalia; Rodentia; Heteromyidae.
AGUGGUAGAAUACUAGCCUUGAGCAAAAGAAGCCCAGGGACAGCACCCCGGCCCUGAGUUCAAGCCCCACGACUGACAAAAAGAAAAAGAUAAAGAAUGGAACGCCCUUUUUGAUACCUGGCAGAUGGGUGCUUGAGGACUUGUUUGUAGUAGGGGUCUAAUUCUGAAACAUCUGUGAAAGUUUGUGCUGAUUUUUCAUUGAACUUUGGGAUUUAGUUAUGGUACUCUCCCCCCCCCCCCCCCGCCAAUCUUUUUACCUGAAUCAAUGAGUAUUUGAGAUUUGGGGAAUUAAAUACUUGGUAGGCUGUUCAGCCCAGGAAACCCUGUCCCUUGCCAGGUGUGAGAUUUUGUGUCACUUGUGACUUUUCAGCAUUCAUUCUCUUUGCAAGC